UACAGAGGUGGCAAGCGUUGUUCGGAAUUACUGGGCGUAAAGGGCGCGUAGGCGGUUCGUUAAGUCCUGUGUGAAAUCCCCCGGCUCAACUGGGGAACUGCACAGGAAACUAGCGGGCUUGAGUUCGGGAGAGGGAAGCGGAAUUCCAGGUGUAGCGGUGAAAUGCGUAGAUAUCUGGAGGAACACCGGUGGCGAAGGCGGCAUCCUGGACCGGCAUUGACGCUGAGGCACGAAAGCGUGGGGAGCAAACAGG
Molecule: ribosomal RNA, 253 nt
Filed under: uncultured bacterium
Lineage: Bacteria
Description: partial 16S ribosomal RNA
Rfam family: Bacterial small subunit ribosomal RNA
Source: RNAcentral